GAAAGUAAAGAAGGGCGCAUGGCGGAUGCCUUGGCUCUCGGAGGCGAUGAAGGACGUGAUAAGCUGCGAUAAGCUUUGGGGAGGUGCAAAUGACCUUUGAUCCAGAGAUUUCCGAAUGGGACAACCCAAUAUCUUGAAGAGGUAUUAUCCAACGUUGUUGGAGGCUAACGCAGGGAACUGAAACAUCUUAGUACCUGCAGGAAAAGAAAAUAAACAAUGAUUCCCCCAGUAGUGGCGAGCGAACGGGGAACAGCCCAAACCAUCCAUGUUACGGCAUGGGUGGGGUUGUAGGACUACGCCGUUGCAUGAAGACAUCAGAGAAGAACUUUCUGGAAAGAAAGACCAUAGAGCAUGACAGUUGCGUAUUCGAAUGUUGUCGAAGCAUAGUAGUAUCCUGAGUAGCGCGGAGCACGAGGAAUUCUGCGUGAAUCUGCCGGGACCAUCCGGUAAGGCUAAAUACUCCCGAGAGACCGAUAGCGAACCAGUACCGUGAGGGAAAGGUGAAAAGCACUUCGAACAGAAGAGUGAAAUAGUUCCUGAAACCGUGCGCCUACAAGCGGUCGGAGCUCGUUAAUGAGUGACGGCGUGCCUUUUGCAUAAUGAACCUACGAGUUGCCUUUGCCGGCAAGGUUAAGUGUGACGACACACGUAUCCGAAGCGAAAGCGAGUCUGAACAGGGCGUAUAGUCGGCAGUGGCAGACGCGAAACCAAGUGAUCUACCCUUGGCCAGGUUGAAGGCUGGGUAACACCAGCUGGAGGACCGCACCAAUAAGCGUUGAAAAGCUUCUGGAUGAGCUGAGGGUAGGGGUGAAAGGCUAAUCAAACUUGGAGAUAGCUCGUACUCCCCGAAAUGCAUUUAGGUGCAGCCUUGCGGGUUACUGAUGUGAGGUAGAGCGACUGAUAAGAUGCGAGGGCUUCACCGCCUAUCAAGUCUUGACAAACUCCGAAUGCGCAUCAGUUCUACCGCAGGAGUGAGGGCAUGGGUGCUAAGGUCCGUGCCCGAGAGGAGAAGAAUCCGGACCACCUGCUAAGGUCCCGAAAUGACAGCUAAGUUAAACUAACGAAGUCUGACUGCUAAGACAGCUAGGAUGUUGGCUUGGAAGCAGCCAUUCAUUUAAAGAGUGCGUAACAGCUCACUAGUCGAGGAGUCGGGCGUGGAUAAUAAUCGGGUAUCAAGUUGUCUACCGAAGCAGUGGGAUCAUUGAUAUGAUCGGUAGGGGAGCAUUCCAGUCGGCGUCGAAGGCGUACCGUGAGGUAUUCUGGAGCGUCUGGAAAAGCAAAUGUAGGUAUAAGUAACGAUAAAGGGGGCGGGAAACCCCCUCGCCGAAAGACUAAGGUUUCCUGAUCAACGCUAAUCGGAUCAGGGUCAGUCGGGUCCUAAGGCUCAGCCGAACGGCGAUGCCGAUGGCAGAAACGGUUAAUAUUCCGUUACUACCUUCAGGAGUGACGUGGAGACGCAGUAGUGACAGUGCCGCCAUCUGACGGAAUAGAUGGUUGAAGGGUGUAGGAGUCGAUCAUGGCAGGCAAAUCCACCAUGAGAUCCGAACCUGACAGUAUGCCGCGUCCUUCGGGACAAGGCAAUAGUGCGCGUAAGCAUGCUGCCGAGAAAAUCCGCUAAACUUAAUCCUGCAGGUACCCGUACCGCAAACGGACACACGUAGUCGGGAUGAAUAUUCUAAGGCGCUUGAGUGAUUCACGGUUAAGGAACUAGGCAAACUGACCCUGUAACUUCGGGAUAAAGGGUCCCUACCCUUUUAUGGGAGGGCGCAGAGAAUCGGUCCAGGCAACUGUUUAACAAAAACACAGGGCUGUGCCAAAUCGAAAGAUCCAGUAUACAGCCUGACACCUGCCCGGUGCUGGAAGGUUAAGAGGAGAUGUCAUCGAUAAGAGAAGCGUUGAAUUGAAGCCCCAGUAAACGGCGGCCGUAACUAUAACGGUCCUAAGGUAGCGAAAUUCCUUGUCGGGUAAGUUCCGACCUGCACGAAUGGUGUAAUGAUCUGGACGCUGUCUCAACCGUGAGCUCAGUGAAAUUGUAGUAUCGGUGAAGAUGCCGAUUACCCGCGAUGGGACGAAAAGACCCCGUGAACCUUUACUAUAGCUUAUCAUUGAAUCUGGGCACGUGAUGUGUAGGAUAGGUCGGAGGCUUUGAAGCAGGUACGCCAGUAUUUGUGGAGCCGCUGUUGAAAUACGACCCUUUAUUUGUUUGGAUUCUAACCCGUGGAACGGGGACAUUGAUUGGUGGGUAGUUUGACUGGGGUGGUCGCCUCCAAAAGCGUAACGGAGGCUUCUA
Molecule: ribosomal RNA, 2290 nt
Filed under: human gut metagenome
Description: bacterial LSU rRNA
Rfam family: Bacterial large subunit ribosomal RNA
Source: RNAcentral